GGUUAUUGUCUAUAAAUAAGAAAGUCACUUCCAAGCCAACCAGAAAUAUGUAUCAAAUUGAUCACAACCAGUAACAGAUUUCUUUGUUCUUUCUCCAUUCCCACUGCUUCACUUGACUAGCCUUAA
Unclassified non-coding RNA from Piliocolobus tephrosceles (Ugandan red Colobus), 126 nucleotides. It matches the Rfam family "Y RNA". From Rfam's summary of the family: Y RNAs are components of the Ro ribonucleoprotein particle (Ro RNP), in association with Ro60 and La proteins. Lineage: Eukaryota; Metazoa; Chordata; Mammalia; Primates; Cercopithecidae. The record is from Ensembl.